Molecule: ribosomal RNA, 468 nt
Filed under: uncultured bacterium
Lineage: Bacteria
Description: partial 16S ribosomal RNA
Rfam family: Bacterial small subunit ribosomal RNA
Source: RNAcentral
GACGAACGCUGGCGGCGUGCUUAACACAUGCAAGUCGAACGGAAAGGCCCUGCUUUUGUGGGGUUCUCGAGUGGCGAACGGGUGAGUAACACGUGAGUAACCUGCCCUUGACUUUGGGAUAACUUCAGGAAACUGGGGCUAAUACAGGAUAGGAGCUCCUGCUGCAUGGUGGGGGUUGGAAAGUUUCGGCGGUUGGGGAUGGACUCGCGGCUUAUCAGCUUGUUGGUGGGGUAGUGGCUUACCAAGGCUUUGACGGGUAGCCGGCCUGAGAGGAUGAACGGCCACAUUGGGACUGAGAUACGGACCAGACUCCUACGGGAGGCAGCAGUGGGAAAUAUUGCACAAUGGGCGGACGCCUGAUGCAGCAACGCCGCGUGCGGGAUGACGGCCUUCGGGUUGUAAACCGCUUUCGCCUGUGACGAAGCGUGAGUGACGGUAAUGGGUAAAGAAGCACCGGCUAACUACGUG